RNAcentral lists this ribosomal RNA (403 nucleotides) under uncultured bacterium. RNAcentral's name for it is "bacterial SSU rRNA". It matches the Rfam family "Bacterial small subunit ribosomal RNA", at positions 355 to 775 of the family's 1533-position model. The record is from RNAcentral.
UAGGGAAUAUUAGUAAUGGGCGCAAGCCUGAACUAGCAACGCCGCGUGUGCGAAGAAGGCCUUCGGGUUGUAAAGCACUUUUUGAGAGGAUGAGGAAGGACGGUACUCUCAGAAUAAGUCUCGGCUAACUACGUGCCAGCAGCCGCGGUAACACGUAGGAGGCGAACGUUAUCCGGAUUUACUGGGCGUAAAGCGCGUGUAGGUGGUUUGGUAAGUAGGGCGUGAAAGCUCCUGGCUCAACUGGGAGAGGCCGUUCUAAACUGCCGAACUAGAGGAUGGUAGAGGGAGGUGGAAUUCCGGGUGUAGCGGUGGAAUGCGCAGAUAUCCGGAGGAACACCAGUGGCGAAAGCGGCCCCCUGGACCACUCCUGACACUCAGGCGCGAAAGCUAGGGUAGCAAACGG